UGAGCUUGAUCCUGGCUCAGAUUGAACGCUGGCGGCAGGCCUAACACAUGCAAGUCGAGCGGAAACGAUGGAAGCUUGCUUCCAGGCGUCGAGCGGCGGACGGGUGAGUAAUGCAUAGGAAUCUGCCCGAUAGUGGGGGAUAACGUGGGGAAACCCACGCUAAUACCGCAUACGUCCUACGGGAGAAAGCAGGGGAUCUUCGGACCUUGCGCUAUCGGAUGAGCCUAUGUCGGAUUAGCUAGUUGGUGAGGUAAUGGCUCACCAAGGCGACGAUCCGUAGCUGGUCUGAGAGGAUGAUCAGCCACACUGGGACUGAGACACGGCCCAGACUCCUACGGGAGGCAGCAGUGGGGAAUAUUGGACAAUGGGGGAAACCCUGAUCCAGCCAUGCCGCGUGUGUGAAGAAGGCCUUCGGGUUGUAAAGCACUUUCAGCGAGGAAGAAGGCCUGAGGGUUAAUACCCUUCAGGAAGGACAUCACUCGCAGAAGAAGC
This 492-nucleotide ribosomal RNA is filed under the name Halomonas sp. M6-C5. Its description in RNAcentral is "bacterial SSU rRNA". It matches the Rfam family "Bacterial small subunit ribosomal RNA", at positions 1 to 491 of the family's 1533-position model. Lineage: Bacteria; Pseudomonadati; Pseudomonadota; Gammaproteobacteria; Oceanospirillales; Halomonadaceae. The record is from RNAcentral.